This 71-nucleotide transfer RNA is filed under the name Anaerolineaceae bacterium 4572_78. Its description in RNAcentral is "tRNA-Gln". It matches the Rfam family "tRNA". From Rfam's summary of the family: Transfer RNA (tRNA) molecules are approximately 80 nucleotides in length. Their secondary structure includes four short double-helical elements and three loops (D, anti-codon, and T loops). RNAcentral also lists the same sequence under 1 other name. Lineage: Bacteria; Bacillati; Chloroflexota; Anaerolineae; Anaerolineales; Anaerolineaceae. The record is from RNAcentral.
UAGUGAGUCGUCUAAUGGUAGGACAACAGAUUUUGGUUCUGUUAAUCGGGGUUCGAAUCCCUGCUCGCUAG